RNAcentral lists this ribosomal RNA (253 nucleotides) under uncultured bacterium. RNAcentral describes it as "partial 16S ribosomal RNA". It matches the Rfam family "Bacterial small subunit ribosomal RNA", at positions 524 to 776 of the family's 1533-position model. The record is from RNAcentral.
UACGUAGGGUGCAAGCGUUGUCCGGAAUUAUUGGGCGUAAAGAGCUCGUAGGCGGUCUGUCGCGUCGGAUGUGAAAACUCGGGGCUCAACCCCGAGCCUGCAUUCGAAACGGGCAGACUAGAGUUCGGUAGGGGAGACUGGAAUUCCUGGUGUAGCGGUGAAAUGCGCAGAUAUCAGGAGGAACACCGGUGGCGAAGGCGACAUCCUGGACCGGCAUUGACGCUGAGGCGCGAAAGCCAGGGGAGCAAACGGG